UACGGGGGGGGGCAAGCGUUGUUCGGACUUACUGGGCGUAAAGGGUUUGUAGGUGGCUUGCUAAGUCAGACGUGAAAUCCCUCAGCUUAACUGGGGAACUGCGUCUGAGACUGGCAAGCUUGAGUGCAGGAGAGGAACGCGGAAUUCCAGGUGUAGCGGUGAAAUGCGUAGAUAUCUGGAGGAACACCGGUGGCGAAGGCGGCGUUCUGGACUGUAACUGACACUGAUGAACGAAAGCCAGGGGAGCAAACGGG
RNAcentral lists this ribosomal RNA (254 nucleotides) under uncultured bacterium. RNAcentral's name for it is "partial 16S ribosomal RNA". It matches the Rfam family "Bacterial small subunit ribosomal RNA", at positions 524 to 776 of the family's 1533-position model. The record is from RNAcentral.